Ictalurus punctatus (channel catfish) is the source of this 621-nucleotide long non-coding RNA. Lineage: Eukaryota; Metazoa; Chordata; Actinopteri; Siluriformes; Ictaluridae. The record is from Ensembl.
GUGUGUUAGUGUGUGAGUAUACAGUGUGUGUGUUAGUGUGUGAGUAUACAGUGUGUGUGUUAGUGUGUGAGUAUACAGUGUGUGUGAGUAUACAGUGUGUGUUAGUGUGUGAGUAUACAGUGUGUGUGUUAGUGUGUGAGUAUACAGUGUGUGUUAGUGGUGAGUAUACAGUGUGUGUGAGUGUGUGAGUAUACAGUGUGUGUGUUAGUGGGUGAGUAUACAGUGUGUGUGUUAGUGGGUGAGUAUACAGUGUGUGUGAGUGUGUGAGUAUACAGUGUGUGUGUGAGUGUGUGAGUAUACAGUGUGUGUUAGUGGGUGAGUAUACAUGGUGUGUGUUAGUGGGUGAGUAUACAGUGUGUGUGUUAGUGUGUGAGUAUACAGUGUGUGUGUUAGUGUGUGAGUAUACAGUGUGUGUGUUAGUGGGUGAGUAUACAGUGUGUGUGUUAGUGUGUGGUAUAACAGUGUGUGUGUUAGUGUGUGAGUAUACAGUGUGUGUUAGUGGGUGAGUAUACAGUGUGUGUGAGUGUGUGAGUAUACAGUGUGUGUGUUAGUGGGUGAGUAUACAGUGUGUGUGUUAGUGGGUGAGUAUACAGUGUGUGUGAGUGUGUGAGUAUACAGUGU